CGGCUACACAUGCAGUCGAGCGGUAGCACAGAGAGCUUGCUCUCGGGUGACGAGCGGCGGACGGGUGAGUAAUGUCUGGGAAACUGCCUGAUGGAGGGGGAUAACUACUGGAAACGGUAGCUAAUACCGCAUAACGUCGCAAGACCAAAGUGGGGGACCUUCGGGCCUCAUGCCAUCAGAUGUGCCCAGAUGGGAUUAGCUAGUAGGUGGGGUAAUGGCUCACCUAGGCGACGAUCCCUAGCUGGUCUGAGAGGAUGACCAGCCACACUGGAACUGAGACACGGUCCAGACUCCUACGGGAGGCAGCAGUGGGGAAUAUUGCACAAUGGGCGCAAGCCUGAUGCAGCCAUGCCGCGUGUAUGAAGAAGGCCUUCGGGUUGUAAAGUACUUUCAGCGAGGAGGAAGGCGUUAAGGUUAAUAACCUUGGUGAUUGACGUUACUCGCAGAAGAAGCACCGGCUAACUCCGUGCCAGCAGCCGCGGUAAUACGGAGGGUGCAAGCGUUAAUCGGAAUUACUGGGCGUAAAGCGCACGCAGGCGGUCUGUCAAGUCGGAUGUGAAAUCCCCGGGCUCAACCUGGGAACUGCAUUCGAAACUGGCAGGCUAGAGUCUUGUAGAGGGGGGUAGAAUUCCAGGUGUAGCGGUGAAAUGCGUAGAGAUCUGGAGGAAUACCGGUGGCGAAGGCGGCCCCCUGGACAAAGACUGACGCUCAGGUGCGAAAGCGUGGGGAGCAAACAGGAUUAGAUACCCUGGUAGUCCACGCCGUAAACGAUGUCGACUUGGAGGUUGUGCCCUUGAGGCGUGGCUUCCGGAGCUAACGCGUUAAGUCGACCGCCUGGGGAGUACGGCCGCAAGGUUAAAACUCAAAUGAAUUGACGGGGGCCCGCACAAGCGGUGGAGCAUGUGGUUUAAUUCGAUGCAACGCGAAGAACCUUACCUACUCUUGACAUCCAGAGAACUUAGCAGAGAUGCUUUGGUGCCUUCGGGAACUCUGAGACAGGUGCUGCAUGGCUGUCGUCAGCUCGUGUUGUGAAAUGUUGGGUUAAGUCCCGCAACGAGCGCAACCCUUAUCCUUUGUUGCCAGCGGUCCGGCCGGGAACUCAAAGGAGACUGCCAGUGAUAAACUGGAGGAAGGUGGGGAUGACGUCAAGUCAUCAUGGCCCUUACGAGUAGGGCUACACACGUGCUACAAUGGCAUAUACAAAGAGAAGCGACCUCGCGAGAGCAAGCGGACCUCAUAAAGUAUGUCGUAGUCCGGAUUGGAGUCUGCAACUCGACUCCAUGAAGUCGGAAUCGCUAGUAAUCGUAGAUCAGAAUGCUACGGUGAAUACGUUCCCGGGCCUUGUACACACCGCCCGUCACACCAUGGGAGUGGGUUGCAAAAGAAGUAGGUAGCUUAACCUUCGGGAGGGCGCUACCACUUU
RNAcentral lists this ribosomal RNA (1423 nucleotides) under Klebsiella aerogenes. RNAcentral describes it as "bacterial SSU rRNA". It matches the Rfam family "Bacterial small subunit ribosomal RNA". Lineage: Bacteria; Pseudomonadati; Pseudomonadota; Gammaproteobacteria; Enterobacterales; Enterobacteriaceae. The record is from RNAcentral.